Patella vulgata (common limpet) is the source of this 2721-nucleotide RNA transcript. RefSeq lists it as uncharacterized. The transcript has 3 exons. Lineage: Eukaryota; Metazoa; Mollusca; Gastropoda; Patellidae. The record is from RefSeq and is a predicted model, not a curated record.
UGUAACAGGGUCAUAUUUUGGGACUCUGUCAAUUAAUGUUGGUGAAGAAUGUCCUGAUCAGUGUCUUGAUUGUUGGAAGUUUUUAAUAAGUGAGUUUAUAGUUUUGGUUGUGAGAUAAUGUAAAUUCAUUAAAAUGUUUUGGGGGAUGGAUUUUCAGUUGUAUGGGUCUGGAAUUGUAUUGUCCGGAUUAUGGUGUUUUAUUUUAGUGGUUGAAAUGUCUUAGUUCUUAUAUGGGUUUACUUUUAAUAUUUUUUGGUAUAGUUGAAAGGAUAACUCGUUGGACUCUUUAUAGUUCUGAAGGUGGUCUCUUUCUGAAAUAUUGUUUAUCAGGUGAUUAGUAAUUCUUUGUCCUGGUUGGUUAUUCAGAAGUUUAGCUGGGAUAAAACUAAAUUACACGCAUGCAUCAGUACCACAUGUUACAGAUUUAGUGAAGGUCAAUACCGGCUCUUUUCCACAAAUGGGUAAGCUAUUUAAUUUAACUUUCUUGUAAUAGAUGACUGCAAGUGGACUGUGAGUUUCAUGAGUGUUUGAUAUAUAAUUAUAUAUGUAAUUCAAAUACUGUAAGGUAAAAAUUGUAGGAUGUGUAGCCAAUAGAACUGUUGGUUACGAAUAUAUGGAUAAUGGCAACUAUUGUAUUUUCAGGGCCAACUUGUCGAGCAUAAAUGUAUUUUGUGUUAUAGUUAUGUGUAGUACCAACAGAAAUGGUGUUUAAUGGUUAUGGUGAAUUGAAAUACAUCUAGAUCGACCAACAUCGACUACGCGCUUACGCGUUUCAUUUAAUUGUUUUAAACUGUAUCAUGUGUCGUUUGUGGAUUAUAUAAACUUAUUUAAACCUUAUCGUGUUGUCAAUCAAGAAAUCUAUUUUCCCGAACUAAGCAGGUUCAAUCUAUCAACUUUACCACACCAUUGCAGGUGAUGGAAAGGGUAGGUCUGCAAUAAUGGAGGCACCAGGGGGAGUAGAUUUUCUUGGUUGUACCAGUAACAAGUUGAACUGUUUAGUUUUCAAUUAACUUAUCGUUAGACUUUAAAGUGAAUCCGAUGGCGUUUAAUUACUGACAUUCAAAUUUAUAUGCACAUUAUCAUCAAGCUUGAAUUCUCGUGACUUUGUGACAGUGUUUAACCACUGGAACUGAAAUUAUAACAGAUUCUGGAUGAAGAUUGGAACUGUGUAACAGUGAAUAUUGAACAUUAAUAUUAUGAACUAUUGAUUAAUUUAGUGUUAAUUUGAUUAAUUUAGUGUUAAUUUGUUUGUUUUCAUUUAUUUUUAGUGUCGGUAAACCUGGUAUGUAUGGUUGUAAGUAUGGAUGUUGACAGCACUAAUAAAUAAAUAGGUCAAGUUUAAAUAAGUUAGGGCAUAAAAUUCCGUAACUAUUGAUAAUCUUAGAACAUCAUUCAAUACACAUUGCAUUAUACUAAAAUAUAUAACAGUUAUCCCAGUAACACUAUAACUUGUAUUGUCUUUAUUUUAUCAACAGUGGAGUUUUUUUUAUGUAGAGUUUAGAGUAGUUUGGUCAGUUGAUUGGUUUGAAUAUGUCGGAGGAAGAAGUUGUGGUCUUGGGUAACACACUAAGAAAGUUGGGUCUUUUUCCAAAGCGUAUAGGUAAGACUGAAGAUGACGUUGCUGAGUGGAUGGAAGAUGUUUUGAAAUCUAAAGGAACUUAAAGGGAUAGUUCACAGUAUUUCUUCACAAGUUAGUGGAUUGAAGGAUCAAGUUUCGCAAUUAGCUUAUAAAGUUGACAGACCUAAGGUUCCACGAUGGCAGUCACAAGGAAAUGAUUCAAGAGGUUCUUUAAGCAAAAUGGCUCCAGAGGUUAGUACGGCAUUGUUGUCGUUAAUUACUGGUAAGUAAAUGACGGGACGUCAUUUUUACGGUGGGGGGAAGUAUGUAACAGGGUCAUAUUUUGGGACUCUGUCAAUUAAUGUUGGUGAAGAAUGUCCUGAUCAGUGUCUUGAUUGUUGGAAGUUUUUAAUAAGUGAGUUUAUAGUUUUGGUUGUGAGAUAAUGUAAAUUCAUUAAAAUGUUUUGGGGGAUGGAUUUUCAGUUGUAUGGGUCUGGAAUUGUAUUGUCCGGAUUAUGGUGUUUUAUUUUAGUGGUUGAAAUGUCUUAGUUCUUAUAUGGGUUUACUUUUAAUAUUUUUUGGUAUAGUUGAAAGGAUAACUCGUUGGACUCUUUAUAGUUCUGAAGGUGGUCUCUUUCUGAAAUAUUGUUUAUCAGGUGAUUAGUAAUUCUUUGUCCUGGUUGGUUAUUCAGAAGUUUAGCUGGGAUAAAACUAAAUUACACGCAUGCAUCAGUACCACAUGUUACAGAUUUAGUGAAGGUCAAUACCGGCUCUUUUCCACAAAUGGGUAAGCUAUUUAAUUUAACUUUCUUGUAAUAGAUGACUGCAAGUGGACUGUGAGUUUCAUGAGUGUUUGAUAUAUAAUUAUAUAUGUAAUUCAAAUACUGUAAGGUAAAAAUUGUAGGAUGUGUAGCCAAUAGAACUGUUGGUUACGAAUAUAUGGAUAAUGGCAACUAUUGUAUUUUCAGGGCCAACUUGUCGAGCAUAAAUGUAUUUUGUGUUAUAGUUAUGUGUAGUACCAACAGAAAUGGUGUUUAAUGGUUAUGGUGAAUUGAAAUACAUCUAGAUCGACCAACAUCGACUACGCGCUUACGCGUUUCAUUUAAUUGUUUUAAACUGUAUCAUGUGUCGUUUGUGGAUUAUAUAAACUUAUUUAAACCUUA